RNAcentral lists this ribosomal RNA (269 nucleotides) under uncultured prokaryote. RNAcentral describes it as "partial 16S ribosomal RNA". It matches the Rfam family "Bacterial small subunit ribosomal RNA", at positions 524 to 792 of the family's 1533-position model. The record is from RNAcentral.
UACGUAUGGGGCGAGCGUUGUUCGGAAUUAUUGGGCGUAAAGGGCGUCUAGGCGGGGAAUUAAGUUAGUUGUGAAAUCCAUGGGCUCAACCCAUGAACUGCAUCUAAAACUGAUUCUCUUGAGUUCGGGAGAGGAGAGCGGAAUUCCCGGUGUAGCGGUGAAAUGCGUAGAUAUCGGGAAGAACACCAGUGGCGAAGGCGGCUCUCUGGCCUAGAACUGACGCUGAAGCGCGAAAGCGUGGGGAGCGAACGGGAUUAGAUACCCGCGUA